CCUCUCUCCUCUGAGACCCCUCCACCAGACCCUCUAUCCCCAUCACCUCUCUCCUCUGAGACCCCUCCACCAGACCCUCUAUCCCCAUCACCUCUCUUCUCUGAGACCCCAAGUACAGUCCAGGACCUACUCACCCACCAUAGACCUUCCCUGGAACAUGCCCUCUUCCAGAGUCCCCUGGAGGACAGACCAAGGCUGUAUUCACCACCACUGCCUCAACCUCCCCAGCGAGCAGAGUCCAACUCCCAGACAGGCCUUAUGCACCUGGACUAUGGACAGAGCCUCUAUAAGCCUGAUGAUUGCUAGGUGAUCCAGGAAGAGGGCAGAAGGACAACCGAAGGAUUAUGGGACAAGCAAACUCUUCAAGCAAAAAUAAUGUUAAGCAGAUGAUCUACCCUCAAAAUGUGUCAUUAUUUUCAAUAGUAUGUCCCUCCUUUUUAUACCAUACCAUGACUAUUCCUUUAUAUUUGGAUGUGAGCCAUUUAUUCCUUAUGAAUAUUGUUAUAACAUUCUCAGAUUCACACACAUUUAUUUUGUAUUGGAAUUGGUUGUACUCAGUUUUAUGGACCUUCCUGCUGUACAUAUCCACACUUGGUUUGGCCUGACGACUGCCUCACUUGGAUGUCUUCCAAUAUGAAGGUUGUACAGUAGAAUUCGGCAUGCAGCAAUAUAACAAGCCGGAACAUUCCUGAAGAUGCCUCACUGCAUUGUGGAUAAACUGUUGACUUCAUGCACCAGUCCAGUCAACAGGCUACAACUCUUCCUCUCUGUCACACACACACACACGCUAUCACACAUUCCACUGCAACAAAUCAGUCCUCUGUCUGCCUGCUUAGAAUCCAGAUAAGAUAUCAAUCGAUGUAAAUGUAUGCUACCAAAUUGCUAAAAGAUGAACAGCUAAUGUCAGUCAGUUUUCCUUCAGCAGACUUAUGGAAAAACCUGCACCUGAAGCAGUGCAGUGAACUAAUCUCAGAACAUGAUCUGUACCUCCUGUUUCAUACAGAUAGCAAUGUUCUAACCCCUUCCUCCAUAUGGAAACACAAAAAAACAACAAAAAAGGGACUAUGGCCCUCUUCAGUUUCAUCUCUGUAUUGAACAAUGUCUUAGUAUAGGAGACUGGUGUAGAGAUAAGACACAAGAUCAGGAAUGUGAAGAUGUGGCACCAUGUAAUUCUUAGUCCCAAAGGAAAGGUGCUGUACACACUAAGUGGAGUGGUGCUCUGUUUCUCACCCAAUUUAGGAUCUGAAGAC
Long non-coding RNA from Esox lucius (northern pike), 1250 nucleotides. NCBI's taxonomy places the organism in Eukaryota, Metazoa, Chordata, Actinopteri, Esociformes, Esocidae. The record is from Ensembl.